Chiloscyllium plagiosum (whitespotted bambooshark) is the source of this 1257-nucleotide non-coding RNA. NCBI's taxonomy places the organism in Eukaryota, Metazoa, Chordata, Chondrichthyes, Orectolobiformes, Hemiscylliidae. The record is from RefSeq and is a predicted model, not a curated record.
GUCCCUGAUUCUGAUCUAGAAGGCCUGGUUUCAAGUCCACCUGUUUCAUAGUAAUGUUAUAACACAUCUGAACAGGGCAACUCCUGGCUGGCAAACCUAACCAGGUACGUGGCUGGGAUUUAAGAAUGGCACAGUCUCUGGGAAUCAAAGGAGCUCCCGGCAAUGCGUUUCUCCAUUCACAGGUAAAGCAAGCCUUCGGACCACUGCCCACCUCUCCAUAACCUGAUCCAAUGAUUUCAAUCAGCUCCCAGUCAUGAGCAAGAAAAGUGAAGAAACUGACAAUGGUGAAGAAGAGGGACGUUAGGGUUUAUUGAUCAAGCUAACACCAGAACAGCCAGUUGGCUUUGUUGCAUUUGGCAGCGAGUGGGAGCAGAGGCAGCAAAGAAUGCUGCAUUCACUUAGUCUGCAUUUGCAGCCACCGCACUUCAUGCUCAGAUGCGCUGGUAUCCUCCAUCUGAAGCACCUCUGCAAGGACGGAAGUCUCGUCAGUUUUGUGAAGCAUUUAACAGCCCUUAUCCAAGAAAUCAGAUUUCUCUGCAGAGUGGUGUGCAAGGACUGACUGAAUUUUGUUAUCAGGUUGGACUUUACUGAAGGAGACUUUGGAGAACUGGUUCAUUUCCACUUGACCUGGAGGGGAUGGAGUGGUCACUAUGGACUGUGGAUUUAAGAAUUCUACUGGUGAUUUUUUUUUCCACAUGGGAAGAUUCUUCAAACUCUAAUUACUGUAAUGGACUAGUAUUUUUUCUUGUUAUAGUCAUUGUAUGCUGUGUGUGAAUAAUUUGCUUAAAUACUGGCUGUCAGAGUCUUACGAAAGCUGGUAGUGCCAUUGGUUAUGAUGCAAUGAUAAAAGGAGUUAGUGAGAAUGUGUACAGGGUAUAAGCAGACAGGGAAAUAGUUAAGUUCUGUGUUUUAUGAAACAAGAGGUUCAGCUGAGCAUGACCCACAUUAGAUAACAACUUACAGUUAACAAUAGGAUGCUCGAGGCAAGGGUAAUGUGUUAACAAGGUGGAAAAACAUUCAUUCUGUAUGUGACGUCAGUUAACAAGGUAAAAAGUAUUCACUAUAUGAAUUCAUUGUGUAACAGCAGAGGCUUAAUCUUUACUAUUGACAUUCGCUGAUUGUAAUGAUCACCCAAUCAAUAUGCAUGUUGCCUUAUCUAGAAGCUCCUCCUUGUAAAAUGACUACAUAGUUCAUUGAGAAACUGCUGUUCCAGAAAAGACAGUGAACUCAUGUCCCUGUGCACAUGGUGGAUUAUUU